CCUACGGGAGGCAGCAGUGGGGAAUCUUGCGCAAUGGGCGAAAGCCUGACGCAGCGACGCCGCGUGCGGGAAGAAGGCCUUCGGGUUGUAAACCGCUUUCAGGAGGGACGAAGCCACUCGGGUUAAUAGCCUAGAGGGUGACGGUACCUCCAGAAGAAGCCCCGGCUAACUACGUGCCAGCAGCCGCGGUAAUACGUAGGGGGCUAGCGUUGUCCGGAUUUAUUGGGCGUAAAGAGCGUGUAGGCGGCCAUGUAGGUCCGGUGUGAAAACUCGAGGCUUAACCUCGAGAUGUCAUCGGAAACCAUUUGGCUAGAGUCCGGAAGAGGAGAGUGGAAUUCCUGGUGUAGCGGCGAAAUGCGCAGAUAUCAGGAAGAACACCAAUGGCGAAGGCAGCUCUCUGGGACGGUACUGACGCUGAGACGCGAAAGCGUGGGGAGCGAACAGGAUUAGAUACCCUGGUAGUCCACGCCGUAAACGAUGGGCGCUAGGUGUGGGCGGUGUCGACUCCGUCCGUGCCGAAGCUAACGCAUUAAGCGCCCCGCCUGGGGAGUACGGCCGCAAGGCUAAAACUCAAAGGAAUUGACGGGGGCCCGCACAAGCAGCGGAGCAUGUGGUUUAAUUCGACGCAACGCGAAGAACCUUACCUGGGCUUGACAUGUGGAUGACCGGCCUGGAAACAGGUCUUCCCUUCGGGGCAUCUUCACAGGUGGUGCAUGGCUGUCGUUAGCUCGUGUCGUGAGAUGUUGGGUUAAGUCCCGCAACGAGCGCAACCCCUGUCCUAUGUUGCCAGCGAGUAAUGUCGGGGACUCAUAGGAGACUGCCGGUGACAAACCGGAGGAGGGGGGGACGACCCCCCGCCCCCUCGCCCUUCUUUUCUGGUUCUCCCGUUUCCUUCGCCCCGUUCUCGGUUGCAAU
This 915-nucleotide ribosomal RNA is filed under the name uncultured bacterium. Its description in RNAcentral is "bacterial SSU rRNA". It matches the Rfam family "Bacterial small subunit ribosomal RNA", at positions 338 to 1253 of the family's 1533-position model. The record is from RNAcentral.